RNAcentral lists this ribosomal RNA (423 nucleotides) under uncultured bacterium. RNAcentral describes it as "bacterial SSU rRNA". It matches the Rfam family "Bacterial small subunit ribosomal RNA", at positions 338 to 758 of the family's 1533-position model. The record is from RNAcentral.
CCUACGGGAGGCAGCAGUGAGGAAUAUUGGUCAAUGGGCGAGAGCCUGAACCAGCCAAGUCGCGUGAAGGAAGAAGGAUCUAUGGUUCGUAAACUUCUUUUGCAGGGGAAUAAAGUGCAGGACGUGUCCUGUUUUGUAUGUACCCUGAGAAUAAGGAUCGGCUAACUCCGUGCCAGCAGCCGCGGUAAUACGGAGGAUCCGAGCGUUAUCCGGAUUUAUUGGGUUUAAAGGGUGCGUAGGUGGUUUGAUAAGUCAGCGGUGAAAGUUUGCAGCUUAACUGUAAAAAUGCCGUUGAAACUGUCGGACUUGAGUGUAAAUGAGGUAGGCGGAAUGCGUGGUGUAGCGGUGAAAUGCAUAGAUAUCACGCAGAACUCCGAUUGCGAAGGCAGCUUACUAAGCUACAACUGACACUGAAGCACGAAA